CCUACGGGUGGCAGCAGUGAGGAAUAUUGGUCAAUGGGAGAGAUCCUGAACCAGCCAAGCCGCGUGAGGGAAGACGGCCCUAUGGGUUGUAAACCUCUUUUGUCGGAGAACAAAACCCGGGACGUGUCCCGGACUGCGUGUAUCCGAAGAAAAAGCAUCGGCUAACUCCGUGCCAGCAGCCGCGGUAAUACGGAGGAUGCGAGCGUUAUCCGGAUUUAUUGGGUUUAAAGGGUGCGUAGGCGGUCUGUUAAGUCAGCGGUAAAAUUGCGGGGCUCAACCCCGUCGCGGCGUUGGAAACUGGCUGGCUUGAGUGGGCGGAAAGUAUGCGGAAUUCGGGGUGGAGCGGUGAAAGGCGUAGAUAGCACGAAGAACUCCGAUGGCGAAGGCAGCAUACGGGAGCGCUACUGACGCUGAGGCUCGAAGGCGCGGGUAUCGAACAGGAUUAGAUACCCGUGUAGUC
This 460-nucleotide ribosomal RNA is filed under the name uncultured bacterium. Its description in RNAcentral is "partial 16S ribosomal RNA". It matches the Rfam family "Bacterial small subunit ribosomal RNA", at positions 338 to 795 of the family's 1533-position model. The record is from RNAcentral.